GGUGGUGGUGCAUGGCCGUUCUUAGUUGGUGGAGUGAUUUGUCUGGUUAAUUCCGUUAACGAACGAGACCCCCGCCUGCUAAAUAGUGUGGCUUACGCUUUUGCGUAGGUGCUCGCUUCUUAGAGGGACUUUCGGUGACUAACCGAAGGAAGUUGGGGGCAAUAACAGGUCUGUGAUGCCCUUAGAUGUCCUGGGCCGCACGCGCGCUACACUGAUGCAUGCAACGAGUUUUACUUUUCCUGGGUCGAGAGGCCCGGGUAAUCUGUUGAACGUGCAUCGUGAUAGGGAUAGAUCAUUGCAAUUAUUGAUCUUGAACGAGGAAUUCCUAGUAAACGCGAGUCAUCAGCUCGCAUUGAUUACGUCCCUGCCCUUUGUACACACCGCCCGUCGCACCUACCGAUUGAAUGUUUCGGUGAAGAUUCCGGACUGUGGCUCGCCGGCUUCACGGCGCUCUUGCCGUGGGAAGUUAUCUAAACCUCAACAUUUAGAGGAAGGUGAAGUCGUAACAAGGUUU
RNAcentral lists this ribosomal RNA (514 nucleotides) under Scytothamnus australis. Its description in RNAcentral is "SSU rRNA". It matches the Rfam family "Eukaryotic small subunit ribosomal RNA", at positions 1273 to 1802 of the family's 1831-position model. The record is from RNAcentral. Lineage: Eukaryota; Phaeophyceae; Scytothamnales.